GGGUGGGGGAUAUAUAUCCAUUGGGCCACGUGUUAGGAAAAAAUCCUAGGCUAAGAUGUUUCAAUAGUUAAAGCCUUCUGAUGGACUGAGAUUCAGGAAUUAAGAGCUGAGAGGCAGCCAACUUCCAAGUAGGCCCUGGGCAACCUGUGGGGAAGGCCUCAGAUGUCUCCCAUUGCUUUCUAGGAAAAAAGAAAAGAAAAGAAAUCCUCCAGGUGGCUGGCGGUGAAGCUCGCUGUGAGCACCCUCGACUGUGGACCCAGUAGACUUUGAACCAGCACCAAGAGUAUGAGUGUGCAGACUGCCACACUCUUGCCGGUCCUGCUUGUUACCGUUUUGCCAGUAAUAAUUUAAACAGUGCAUUGGAAAUACAGAAGCUCGACCAUUUUUUAAAUAAA
Rattus norvegicus (Norway rat) is the source of this 395-nucleotide non-coding RNA. The record is from RefSeq and is a predicted model, not a curated record. NCBI's taxonomy places the organism in Eukaryota, Metazoa, Chordata, Mammalia, Rodentia, Muridae.